AUAUGGGUAUAUAAAUGCAUCUCAUAUUACUGCAUCAGUGGGAAAUGAACAAAGAUUUUAUAUAGCUACACAGACCCCAUUACCUAGUACAGUGAAUCAUUUUUGGCAAAUGGUAUGGGAGGCUGGAGUACAUCUUGUCCUCGAUUUGUCGCUACCCAAAAUUAAUACUAUAGACGAAAAUUAUGGAAAAUACUUCCCAACAGUUGCUGAUCAUUCUGUACAAUUUGGGGAGUAUCAUGUGUGGCUACAAUUUACGCAGGAG
Rhopalosiphum maidis (corn leaf aphid) is the source of this 262-nucleotide long non-coding RNA. RefSeq lists it as uncharacterized. The record is from RefSeq and is a predicted model, not a curated record. NCBI's taxonomy places the organism in Eukaryota, Metazoa, Arthropoda, Insecta, Hemiptera, Aphididae. The transcript is spliced from 3 exons.